This 1397-nucleotide long non-coding RNA is filed under the name Marmota monax (woodchuck). The record is from RNAcentral. Lineage: Eukaryota; Metazoa; Chordata; Mammalia; Rodentia; Sciuridae.
GACCUUUUGCAGGGUCUGUGUGUCCUAUCCUCUUUGCUCAUAUGCACAGCCACACCACGAUUCCUGGACCUUUGAUGGGUGGUGACGCUCACACAGAUGGAACUAUGAAAUCCUUUUGUCCUUUAUUUUUCAGAUCCCAUGGACUUUUUCAUCAAAAUGUUCAAUGCAUUUGUAUGCCAGCUGUGGAAAUUCAGUACAAUCAGACUCCUUGACUUCUAAAACCCAUUAUAAUAUCUGGGUUCGAUUGGCUGAAAUUGUUACGUACUUGCAAAAAUGUCUCAUGGUACCCACUGUUGUCUUAGCAGACUGACUGUGUUCUUACCUUCCCCACAGGAUUUAAUAGAACACCAUCCUGUGCAACAUAUCCUUUAAGGUCUAUUCCCCUUGAUGAAAACUGUGAUGAUUCAGUGAGCCUUCUAAGACAAAAUUUAACUCUUCGACAUUUUCCUUAGUGGGUAUCCCUGGACUAGCUGUUGGGACUUACAAAACCACUAUGAAACUGGCCUGUGCUAUGGUAAAAAUAUUAAUCAUACCUCUAUGACAAUUAAUAUGCUUAAUGUAGAACAAAAACAACAUCAUCAAGCUAUUCUUGACAAUCGGGCCGCAAUUGAUUGUAAUUAUUACAUUAUAAAGGAUGUCAGGAGUUUAAUGAUAUUGCUUCAAUUUAAGUGACAAUAGAUGUUCUAUCUGAAAGGAGUUAGACUACCUUAAAGAUAUCAUUAAAAAGGUCUGGCAAGAUGAUGGAGGUUUAGACUUAUUGGAUAGUCUAACUUCUUGGUUACCCAACUUUACAUGGGUCAAUUAUUCAUAGGUGCAUUUUAUUAAUAUUGGGAUUAUUAUGUUGUGCUUGCUGUUGCCAAUUUUACCCUAUUUUUUGUCUCCACUGACAUUAAAAAAAACAAAUAUUAUUCAUCUGAAAGGUCUUAAAAAACAAGAAAGGGGAGAUGUAGGGAUUCUGACCAUGGAAAUGUACAGGGAAGCAUUUCCCUGGUGAGCAAACUCCCGGGGCGUAACAGGCACCCUGUUUCCCACCCUUAGAAUGCCCUGCAGUCUCUCUUAGGAUCCAGUAACAGAGCUAAUGUACGUGCCAUGUGUAGCUGGUAUGGCAGUGUCCUGCCCUGAGAUGCCUCUGUGCUAGAGCCUCAUCAGCCUCCAUCUUGAAGGCAGGCACAUAGCUCCUGGGAAUAGAGGAACUUGCUUGCCAGAUAACCACAAUGUUUCACCAAACUCAGGUGCUCCUGGAGCCGCCCGCCUCACAGUAACUUCAGACACUGGACCUUCUUGAGAGCUGCACAAAGCUCCUGAGUUGCCUAUUGUAACUGUGAAAUGUAACUGCAGAACAAGCGCCCUUACUGAUACUCUAAACAAUAAUGUGGUGUGGUACUAAUGACCUAAUG